Molecule: non-coding RNA, 840 nt
Organism: Rhopilema esculentum
Lineage: Eukaryota; Metazoa; Cnidaria; Scyphozoa; Rhizostomeae; Rhizostomatidae
Source: RefSeq, a predicted model, not a curated record
GUGGAGUAUCGUCGACAUGCAACAACAACAACGCUUGAUCUAACAACAAGCCUAAAAAAGCCGCGAAGUGGAAGAAACAAAGGGUUGGCAAACUUCAGCCAGUAGUAGUUCCUAGGAAGCCCAAAACAUUGAUGGCAAAACGAGACUUAUUUCUGUUUGGAGGAAUAGCUGCUGCCAUUGGUCUUGCUUUGCUCCCAAUUUAUGCAUACCCUAAAUUUAAUCCAAAUGGCUAUAAUAAUGUCCAAGAAAGGAAUAGAGAAGGUUUAGACAGAGAAGCUAUUCAGCCUGGUGGUAUGAAAAUUUGGAAUGAUCCAUUUGACAGGAAGAAAAACAGUUCUGGAGAAGAAUAAGAGCUCAAUGUCAUAAUUAUAGUCAUGCUUGAUGUGUUGUAUAAUUGGUUUUAAGCUUUUACAGUAAAAAGAUUAAAAGAAAAAAAAGUUUAAAAUCUUAUAUCCCAUAUUUUCUGCAGCCAAAGGAUGACUUUUUCUAAAUCAUAUUAGAACAAUUAGAAGAUCCCCAAAAAGACAUGUGAACCACUGUAUAUGGCAAAACAUAGUAAUUUUAUGGAGGAUAAACAUGAUUUUAGUUUUACAACCCUAUAAGUAACUUAAUGACUGAGCAACAUAUAUUUUCAUUCCCUCUGGAUCAGAAUUUUUAUGAGGCUUUAUAAAGAUAUCAUUCAUAUAUCAUAUUUGUUGUUGUGACAGAAUGAUUUGAAUUUUCUAAGCUAGAAAAAAUAAUAGGUUCAGUGUAUUUUAAGAACUACUGAUUUAGAAUUUUGCUUUACAUAACAAGUUGUUUGUACUGUUUGGUUUGUGAACAUUUUUCUAGUCAAAAUUA